Molecule: ribosomal RNA, 422 nt
Filed under: uncultured bacterium
Lineage: Bacteria
Description: bacterial SSU rRNA
Rfam family: Bacterial small subunit ribosomal RNA
Source: RNAcentral
UAAGGAAUAUUGGACAAUGGAGGCAACUCUGAUCCAGCCAUGCCGCGUGAAGGAAUAAGGCCCUAUGGGUUGUAAACUUCUUUUAGACGGGACAAAACCCCUUUACGUGUAAAGGGUUGAUGGUACUGUCAGAAUAAGCAUCGGCUAACUUCGUGCCAGCAGCCGCGGUAAUACGAAGGAUGCAAGCGUUAUCCGGAAUUAUUGGGUUUAAAGGGUGCGUAGGCGGACUAAUAAGUCAGUGGUGAAAGCCUGCAGCUUAACUGCAGAAUUGCCAUUGAUACUGUUAGUCUUGAGUACAGUUGAGGUAGGCGGAAUGUGUCAUGUAGCGGUGAAAUGCUUAGAUAGGACACAGAACACCGAUUGCGAAGGCAGCUUGCUAAGCUGUAACUGACGCUGAGGCACGAAAGCGUGGGGAGCAAACA